AACGAACGCUGGCGGCAGGCUUAACACAUGCAAGUCGAACGGUUGUAGCAAUACAGCAGUGGCAGACGGGUGAGUAACACGUGGGAACCUUCCUAGAGGUACGGAACAACGCAGGGAAACUUGCGCUAAUACCGUAUACGCUCGAGAGAGGAAAGAUUUAUCGCCUUUAGACGGGCCCGCGUCGGAUUAGCUAGUUGGUGAGGUAACGGCUCACCAAGGCGACGAUCCGUAGCUGAUCUGAGGGGAUGAUCAGCCACACUGGGACUGAGACACGGCCCAGACUCCUACGGGAGGCAGCAGUGGGGAAUCUUGGACAAUGGGCGCAAGCCUGAUCCAGCCAUGCCGCGUGAGUGAAGAAGGCCUUCGGGUUGUAAAGCUCUUUUGUCAGGGACGAUAAUGACGGUACCUGAAGAAUAAGCCCCGGCAAACUUCGUGCCAGCCGCCGCGGUAA
Molecule: ribosomal RNA, 451 nt
Filed under: uncultured bacterium
Lineage: Bacteria
Description: partial 16S ribosomal RNA
Rfam family: Bacterial small subunit ribosomal RNA
Source: RNAcentral